CUGUGCUAGAUGGGAAGAUAGCGGCCUCCUAUAACCUGCAAUCCGCUAUAGCAGGGUCGAAGUCCUCUUGGAGGCAUAUUAGUUGUAGGGCUGGCUUUAGUAAGUGGCAAUGAUGGUUGGGUCCUACGCAACGGGAACUUACAAACCCCGUCAGGUCCGGAAGGAAGCAGCGGUAAGUAAUCAUUUUCGUGUGCCGUAGGGCAACCUGGCUUGAGUUAACUGCUAGGGUAACGCCUAUGACUAUGUGUCGAAUUGAGGUGCACAG
This 265-nucleotide signal recognition particle RNA is filed under the name Clostridiales bacterium. RNAcentral's name for it is "signal recognition particle sRNA large type". It matches the Rfam family "Bacterial large signal recognition particle RNA". From Rfam's summary of the family: The signal recognition particle (SRP) is a universally conserved ribonucleoprotein involved in the co-translational targeting of proteins to membranes. Archaeal SRP consists of a 7S RNA and homologues of the eukaryotic SRP19 and SRP54 proteins. In most bacteria, the SRP consists of a 4.5S RNA and the Ffh protein (a homologue of the eukaryotic SRP54 protein). Lineage: Bacteria; Bacillati; Bacillota; Clostridia; Eubacteriales. The record is from RNAcentral.